This is a long non-coding RNA of Dreissena polymorpha, 1753 nucleotides long. RefSeq lists it as uncharacterized. Lineage: Eukaryota; Metazoa; Mollusca; Bivalvia; Myida; Dreissenidae. The record is from RefSeq and is a predicted model, not a curated record. The transcript has 2 exons.
UGAUACUAUUUUGAAUUUCAUGACACUUUGUUUUUAACCGACCCAAUUUUUACUUGGCUGAAAUCACUUACAUUUCAUGGCGCUAUUCCAUAGAUAAAAAAUUGUAAAAAAUAAAUGUCUGUAAAAGAAUACUUAUUUCAUCUUGUUUAAUCUUUAAACACCUUUACUGCAUCUGUACACACCAACUGCAUGCCCAUAUUUGGAAAUUUGAAUAAAUUAUGGAACUUUUAUAUACCCCAGGAGUGAAAAUAAACUGGACAAAAGCCGAGCGUGAGGGUGGUUUUGAAAAAAUCGGUAUAUUUUUUUUAAAAAGCAUGGAAAGCCUACCUACAAAUUUGCAUGUAGUUCAGUGAAAUGAUGCUGAUUAGGAAAAUAAUUAAUUAAAUUAUAUUUGGAUAUGUGCCCAUUAGGGGUGCGCUACCUUAAGAUUGAAAUAAUCGUACAAUUAUCAUCAAUUAAAUAACUAAGAUAAUUAAUUAUUCGAUAGUCGCUACUGAACAUAUUUGAUAACUUGCCACAUACUUUUGUGCUAUCAUAUUCAUAGUGUCCUUGUUCGAUACUGUAAUCUAUAUGCACAUGCAUAUAAUAUUGUUUCGCGAAUAUAUAAACACGCGAGCAAAUGCCUAACUUGUCAGUAAAGAAAUAAUUUCUUUGUCAGUAAAGAAAUAAUCUGCUGGCCCCACGGGACAAGUCUUUAUCAUUUAAAAAAGCAAACAAAUCGUUACAAAAAUUUAAUUAUUUGGCUAGAUGUACUUUCAAAAUAAUGUUGACACUAAACCGAUAACGCGCAAAGUAUGCAAGUUUUUACACAAUAUAAAGAGAUAAAUUUCAUAGUUCUAUUCGAACACUUUUGCAGUUGACCCAUAAGUUUAAAUUUAAAGGGAUCUUUUCACGCUUUGGUAAAUUGACAAAAUUGAAAAAAGUUGUUUCAGAUUCGCAAAUUUUCGUUUUAGUUAUGAUAUUUGUGAGGAAACAGUAAUACUGAACAUUUACCAUGGUCUAAUAUAGCCAUUAUAUGCAUCUUUUGACGAUUUGAAAACCUAAAAAUUAUAAAGCGUUGCAACGCGAAACGAUUGAAUAAUUUGGAGAGUUCUGUUUUUGUCGUUAAAUUUUGUGAAACUACGAAGAUUGCUUAUAUAAGGUAUAAAAUACGUCAAGUAUGUGUACUCGGCGGAAUAGCUCAGUAGGCUAAAGCGUUUUUACUUCAGGACUCUGGCAGGACUCCAGGGGUCACUGGUUCGAAACCUGCUCCGGUCAAUGUUCUUUUCCUUUUUUAAAUUUUAUUCUUGAUUUUUUACUGAAGCUUUUACGAUCCAAUGUUUACAUUUAUCAAUAUAAAGCAUUUAAUGAAUAAGUUAAAAAGUGCCAAAAUCUGUGAAAAGGCCCCUUUAAAACUUCCGCUUGCUGUUUAUUAACGUAUUGUAGAUUUAUCUAUACAUUGUAGUUACAGUUUACAUUCCCAAGUUCCAGUCAGUGAUUGUUUUUUAAGUUUCAUCUCCAGAAGAUUGAAUCGUUUUGCGAGAACAAGGGCAUCCCCAAGUGGAAGAUCCGCCAACAUACUGCUCUUGGCAGGAAACAGUCGACAAUCACCACAAUGGCGUCUCUGGCACUAUGUGGCAUGCUUCCGGUAAUCAUAAUGGACCCGGCCGACAAAAAAUAUUCAACCGCAGUUUCGAACAGAAUGCGAACGCGCAUGCAAAAGAUGACGCACCAAAGUCCAAUAACGUCACGAUUAACGCUCUCGUUUCGGCCA